Molecule: long non-coding RNA, 2972 nt
Organism: Heterocephalus glaber (naked mole-rat)
Lineage: Eukaryota; Metazoa; Chordata; Mammalia; Rodentia; Bathyergidae
Source: Ensembl
CCUGAGAAUAGACGCUUGUGAGUGGUGGGCCCGGCCGUGGCCGGGAAGUUCGAUCGGAAGUCUGGGACAAGCCAGGGAACACGCAAAGGCCGGGGAAAGAACUCAGGACGCGUGCGCGUCAGGUGUGACGCAUGCGCAGCGCACCCCAGACCCCGGCCGGCCGCUGUCCAACCAUCCCCCUUAGUACGAAUAGGUUGGAGCACUGAGACUUCCGGUUCCGCAAGGCUCACCUUUCAGGUGAGGUUUAUCUCGGCUCAAGAUCACUGAGAGGGAGACCGUCUCAAAGAGUAAUUGUAUCCUGCGUAGCACAAAAGUCACCGUGUUCUGGGAGGAGGGAGGCGCCGCUCCUUCCUCCAGGUCCCCAGUUCACAGCAAAUUCGAGGAGGAAGUAAGGAGACUCCUGUACACUGGAGCGCCCGCCCGCUGUCCCGUCAGACUGGGCGCUGCGCCCUGCCGGCUGCGACCGACCGUUAGGCCAGGACCCAGGGCUUCCGGCCGCCCUUCGCUGCCCAGUGUGGCCUCGACAGCAGGCCAGGCCUCGCUUCGUUGUUUUGAUUUGCUUUCCCUGGCCUGCGCUCAAGCGCCUUCUCGCGCUUGUGCGCAAGCUGAAAGUCUCCGCGGUGGAGCUGCGGGAAGCGGAGGAGACGCGAAAUCUGCAUGAGUAAAACGGGACCGGUACCGACAGAGAGAUCCCUACAGGGCUUCCCGGGAGUCCCCAGAGGUUUCAGGAAACACCCCUCCACUGCAGGCGCGGGCUCCACAACAGCAGACGUCAGCCAACAUGAGCAGGAGCCUGAGUGAGUCGGAUGGCGCGCGUCAGCUCCUGGCCCUGCCUGAAACGCCCCCGCUGCUUCACAGGGGAGGAGCUCACAGCUGGGCCCACAUCCCGCCGUGCUGGUCAUCUGAUGGAGGUCACAGGCUCUAGGCCACACGGAUGGAGUGAAAGAUGUUUCUGGAACGCUGAAGGGCAGAACAUAGUUAAUUCUGGCAAUUUUGUGGGGCAGCUUCUGCUUCUUCAUUAGGACAGAAAUAGCCAGAGAUGAUUUUACAUAAGGAAGUCACAGAGGGACAGCAGCGGGGGUGCUUCUGGCACCAGGUUGCUUUUCAGCAUUUUAAAUAAGUUAAUAGCAUAGCUUCCAUCACUCCCGAAUAAAUAUCCAAUUAUGUUGCUGAAUUUUGAAACAUCUUAAAGUAAUAUUUCAAUUAAUAUAUCGUUUGUUAUUUUCAUAUAAUAGCAUUUAUUGGAGCUCAGGAAAAACUUUGUAGAGAAUUACCCUCCGAAAGACCUAAGUCUAAUUCCUAAUAUAACUUGUUUCUUUUGAGAUUUCACUUUUGCCUUUUUUUCUUUUCAUAAAUCAAAUUUCAUUCUAUUUUUCUCCUUCCUUCUGGAGCAUGAAAAAGAUUUUAUUUCUUCUUUAGUUAUUCUAGGACAAAUUAAAGUUUUAAUUGUAAGUUUUAAAUUUGGCAUCGUGUGACAUUAUGAAAUACAUGUUCUAUUAGUCAUUAGCUAAAAUAGCAAAUGGCUUUCACUACUGUGCUUUCCUUUUAUUUCUUUUUUGGGCGGGACUAGGGAUUGAACCCAGGCCCUCACACCUGGCAGACAAGCACUCUACCGCUGAGCUACACCCAGCCCCUUUUAUUUUUAUUUCGGGAAGGGUCUUGCUAAGUUGCCCUGACCCGGCUGGCUGACCUGGAAGUUGUGUCCCUUCUGUCCCAGCCUCCCGCACAGCCAGGCAUACAGACGUGCACCACCACAGCAGAAGCAAACUGGUAACUUCAAUUGUACCAAGAAACUUCUCAUUACCUGUCUCCUUGUCUUUUCCUAAAGCACAAGCUUGUAAUCUAUGGGCAGGGCCAGACCUCAGGGGAUGCUGCCCUACAGGGACACUGGCCCUGCUUCUGAGCCAAGUGUCUGGUGAGUGAGGUGGAGAAGGAAAGGCCCAGAUGUCACCUGUCAGGGAGGCCCAGUUGCCCUCAGGUGGGAGCAGUGGAAGAUGAAGCAGCUUUCCUUCCACAGCUGCUAAGCCUUGCUGGGAGUCCGUGGGUGGCUUCAGUGUUUUCUCCGGAGGAUGGGAUAACACUACCCCUCAUGUUGCCACCUGCCACAGUUUACCAUAGUCUCAGAAAAGGCGAAGGACAGGGGCUUCUGUUCUUUGUCACUCCAUGGAAGGAACUUUAGGACGCUGCAGGACUUUUUGGAAAGUGGCAGCUAAAGCUCUGGGGAUAAACGCUCCAGAGGGAAGGUGAAGACAGUGAGGGUUGUGCGAGACCUGGAACCUCUCGAACGGCCCACGGGUGGGGUGCUCACACAGUGUCUCCGAGUGUGUGGUGUGGCACAGGACCCCGCAGCACCUUCGGAUUUGCACUGCCAGGCCGACCUCGGAGGGACGGACUUGCAGCUACAACACAGACACCUCUGGGGUGAAAUGUGGCGACGGUUUGACAGGCAUAGCAGGAGCUCCGGCCAAAAAGGAUUUAUCCAAUUAAAGUUAUGGGAUGAAUUUUGGCUGGCAGCAUGUAAUUACCCGGCUUGGAGCGGAGCCAGGAUCCUGAGGUUAACACCCGUGCUCUUGCCAGCAGCCUCCUACCUGCCAAGGCUCGGCAGGGCUGGAGCGCGCUGUUGUGACAUCUCGCACAAUGCUGGUGACGCACAGCCUGGACCUGGUUUCUUCAGCGCUCAUUAUGUUCCUUCUUUUUAUGCCACAUUAGGCUCGAAACCAAAUGUCCACAUAGAUGUCAAUUUCCUCAAAUCUGAGUUUAAAAUUAUAAUUAGAAAAUAAAAAAUAGAUUUACAAAUUAAUUUAUUCCGUCAGAGUGGUUAUCGAGCGAUUAUUUCACUGUAGGAGUGAAACUGGAUCAGAGCGGUGAUAUUGAACCCUCGCCGCCUUAGGAGAAAAAUGGACCAGGAGCCAGGUCGGGCCUGGGUGGGAGAGCGCCCCGGGCCCACAGACAGCCGGGCAAGAGACAAGCCC